UUUAAUGAUGGAAGUGGAGUAGGCCAAGGA
This 30-nucleotide non-coding RNA is filed under the name Mus musculus (house mouse). The record is from RNAcentral. Lineage: Eukaryota; Metazoa; Chordata; Mammalia; Rodentia; Muridae.